Molecule: ribosomal RNA, 1397 nt
Filed under: uncultured bacterium
Lineage: Bacteria
Description: bacterial SSU rRNA
Rfam family: Bacterial small subunit ribosomal RNA
Source: RNAcentral
AGAGUUUGAUCCUGGCUCAGGAUGAACGCUGGCGGCGUGCUUAACACAUGCAAGUCGAACGAAGCACUACCGACGGAACUUUUCGGAGGGAAGAUGGUAAUGACUGAGUGGCGGACGGGUGAGUAACGCGUGGGCAACCUGCCCCAUAGAGGGGGACAACAGCUGGAAACGGCUGCUAAUACCGCACAACAAGGAGAGAGCGCAUGUUCUUUUCUUCAAAGAUUUAUCGCUAUGGGAUGGACCCGCGUCUGAUUAGCUGGUUGGUGAGGUAACGGCUCACCAAGGCGACGAUCAGUAGCCGGCUUGAGAGAGUGGACGGCCACAUUGGGACUGGGACACGGCCCAGACUCCUACGGGAGGCAGCAGUGGGGAAUAUUGCACAAUGGGGGAAACCCUGAUGCAGCGACGCCGCGUGAGUGAAGAAGUAUUUCGGUAUGUAAAGCUCUAUCAGCAGGGAAGAUAAUGACGGUACCUGACUAAGAAGCCCCGGCUAACUACGUGCCAGCAGCCGCGGUAAUACGUAGGGGGCAAGCGUUAUCCGGAUUUACUGGGUGUAAAGGGAGCGUAGGUGGCAGGGCAAGUCAGAUGUGAAAACCCCGGGGCUCAACCCCGGGAGUGCAUUUGAAACUGUCCAGCUGGAGUGCAGGAGAGGUAAGCGGAAUUCCUAGUGUAGCGGUGAAAUGCAUAGAUAUUAGGAGGAACACCAGUGGCGAAGGCGGCUUACUGGACGAUGACUGACGCUGAGGCUGGAAAGCGUGGGGAGCAACCAGGAUUAAUUACCCUGGUAGUCCCCCCCGUAAACGAUAUAUAAUAGGUGUCGGCGGGACAAGGCACCGCCGGUACCGCAGCAAACGCAGUACGUAUUCCGUCUGGGGAGUGCGUUCGCAAGAGUGAAACUCAAAGUGAAUUGGCGGGGACCCGCGCAAGCGGUGGAGCAUGUGGUUUAAUUUGAAGCAACGCGGAGAACCUUACCAAGUCAUGACAUCCUGCUGACGGUCCCUUAGCUAGGGGCUUUCCUUCGGGACAGCAGAGACAGGUGGUGCAUGGUUGUCGUCAGCUCGUGUCGUGAGAUGUUGGGUUAAGUCCCGCAACGAGCGCAACCCCUAUUGCCAGUAACCAGCAUUUCGCAUGGGGACUCUGGUGAGACUGCCGGGGAUAACCCGGAGGAAGGUGCGGCCGACGUCAAAUCAUCAUGCCCCUGAUGGGCUGGGCUACACACGUGCUACAAUGGUGUUGACAGAGUGAGGCGAACCUGCGAAGGGGAGCAAAGCACAAAAAAGGCACCUCAGUUCGGAUUGUAGUCUGCAACUCGACUACAUGAAGCUGGAAUCGCUAGUAAUCGCAGAUCAGAAUGCUGCGGUGAAUACGAUCCCGGGUCUUGCACACUCCGCCCGUCA